AUGCUUACUUUUUUGAACUGGUUUCAGAAAAAGCAAACGUCACUUCUGCCUCUGCCCAUUGCUUCUCCCAAUAACACCAACACACUUUCUCUCUCUAUCCUCCUUUCUUUCUCUCUCUUUAUCUCUGUCCUUUCUCUCUAUCUCGAACUUCUUCCGUCUUCCUCUUCCUAUUCCUUCUCCCUCUUCUUUUUCCUCUUCCUCAACGUUGUUUUGUUGUUUUGGGAUCUCAUCGAAGGAAGAGACACAAAUGAUCCUCACCACUACAAUACGCCAUAG
Molecule: non-coding RNA, 276 nt
Organism: Vicia faba (fava bean)
Lineage: Eukaryota; Viridiplantae; Streptophyta; Magnoliopsida; Fabales; Fabaceae
Source: the annotation of a GenBank genome assembly